RNAcentral lists this non-coding RNA (48 nucleotides) under unclassified sequences. Its description in RNAcentral is "eL15-Euryarchaeota ribosomal protein leader". It matches the Rfam family "eL15-Euryarchaeota ribosomal protein leader". The record is from RNAcentral.
CGGGAGGAGAUCCCGCAGGGAUGUGGCUCAACAGAGCUGAACCGUAAA